GGUUGAUCCUGCCAGUAGUCAUAUGCUUGUCUAAAGGAUUAAGCCAUGCAUGUCUAAGUAUAAACUAAUUUAUACGGUGAAACUGCGAACGGCUCAUUAUAUCAGUUAUAAUCUACUUGAUCAUAAAAACUUACAUGGAUAACCGUAGUAAAUCUAGAGCUAAUACAUGCGAAAAAUCUCGAUCGUCCAUUUGGGUGGGAGAGAUGAAUUUAUUAGAUUAAAAAUCAAUGCGGGGCAUUCAACUGGGUCGUACUUUCGGGUUCGGUCUGGGUCUCGGUUAAUUGAUGAUUCAU
Molecule: ribosomal RNA, 293 nt
Filed under: uncultured eukaryote
Lineage: Eukaryota
Description: partial 18S ribosomal RNA
Rfam family: Eukaryotic small subunit ribosomal RNA
Source: RNAcentral